UCCUUUAUUAAAGGUGUAGUGGCCGUGCUGCUACAUCCCUCUAUUCCCAAAGCAGAAAUUAGGUGCCUGCAUCAAACAAUGCAAGGUGUGAGAUAAUACAUCUCAGCAAGUAAACAUAACAACAACAAAUAGGACAUUGUAAAUCAACUGUGCUUACACAACCACAUGGUUCAGAACUCCUUUCUUUCUUUUGAACAGUAAAUUGCAGCAAGUAAACAAAUAACUAAAUUCUUAACGCCAAGAAGAAUCACCAUGCACAAGUCCAAAUUAACCACAUCCACAUAAUAGAUUCCACACCUCUCCCAUGAAUGCACAUGCCUACAGAUGCAAUAAUGACUUCUGCCUCCAUAUCACUAAGGAUAUGAAGCUGCACCAUACCCCUUCUCGGGCAACAUAUGAUGCUCAAUGUACCGGUACGGUCGGACCAUAAGAUCGCGACGAAACUUCAAUGCAAUGGAUGAUGAGUGCAUUAUGCAUGACAACAUCAUGAGUUCUUCCCAAAUAAAAAUGUGCUAGACAUAUACUUCCACCCAUUCCACAUAACAACCACUUGAGUAACAUAAUCAAACCUCAAACUCAACAUAUGAAAUCCAUGAAACAUGAACAUUUCAAAUGAUGGUACUCAAAAAAAAUAUGAAUAUGAACACAAUAGCACAACAUAAUCAAGUAUAAGACUCCUCAUCUGACAGACGGAAUAACCAUCACAGUUUUACUUGCCUUCACCGGAAGUUUGGGCAAAUCCCUAAGAAUGAUCCGGAAGUCCACCACCUUGGAUUCUCCCCCUUUCCUUCCUCCCUUCUUCCCUCCACCAAAACGAUUGAAGAUUCGCACCACGUGACGAUGAUCCGAGCGGCAAGGAUU
Molecule: long non-coding RNA, 861 nt
Filed under: Zea mays
Lineage: Eukaryota; Viridiplantae; Streptophyta; Magnoliopsida; Poales; Poaceae
Description: long non-coding RNA (ZMAY_LNC004267)
Source: RNAcentral